UUAAAAUUUGGUUAGAGUUUUAUUAAGAUUUGGUCUUAGAUUUAAUAUUUGAUUAGGAUUGGUUUAGGAUUUAAUUAGGAUUUAAUUAAGAUUAAAUUACGAUUUGAUUAAAAUUUGGUUUAAGAUUUGAUUAGGAUUUAGAAUUUAUUUAGGAUUUGAUUAGAGUAGAUUUUAAAAUUUUAUUAGGAUUUCAUUAUGAUAUGGCUAGGAUUAAUUUAAGGUUUCAUUAGGAUUUGUUAAGAAUUACAUUAAGGUUUGAUUAAGAUUGGUUUAGAUUUUUAUAAGAUUUUUUGAUGGUUACAUUAGAAUUUUAUUAGGAUUAAAUUAAGAUUUCUAUUUUUAUGAUUUUUUUUAUGAUUUUUUUAUUUUAUAUAUAAUUUUAAGGUUAAUUUAU
This 394-nucleotide long non-coding RNA is filed under the name Physcomitrium patens. RNAcentral's name for it is "long non-coding RNA (PPAT_LNC008044)". The record is from RNAcentral. Lineage: Eukaryota; Viridiplantae; Streptophyta; Bryopsida; Funariales; Funariaceae.